This 503-nucleotide ribosomal RNA is filed under the name Boophis madagascariensis (Madagascar bright-eyed frog). RNAcentral's name for it is "partial 16S ribosomal RNA". It matches the Rfam family "Bacterial large subunit ribosomal RNA", at positions 1928 to 2598 of the family's 2925-position model. Lineage: Eukaryota; Metazoa; Chordata; Amphibia; Anura; Mantellidae. The record is from RNAcentral.
CGGCCGCGGUACCCUAACCGUGCGAAGGUAGCAUAAUCACUUGUUCUUUAAAUGAGGACUCGUAUCAACGGCAUCACGAGGAUCCUACUGUCUCCCCCCUCUAAUCGGUGAAACUGAUCUCUCCGUGAAGAAGCGGAGAUGUACAUAUAAGACGAGAAGACCCCAUGGAGCUUUAAACCCAACAACACCCGCCCCCCUCCAAAUCCUAUUAUUUACCCGGUGAUUGUUUGUUUGGUUUUAGGUUGGGGUGACCGCGGAGUAUAAGAUAUCCUCCAUGAAAAAAGCUAACUGCCCUUAUUAGAGAAAGACACUUCCAAAAAAUAAUAAAUUAAUUUUAAAUGAUCCGACAUUCGAUCAACGAACCAAGUUACCCUGGGGAUAACAGCGCAAUCCGCCCCGAGAGCCCCUAUCGACAGGCGGGUUUACGACCUCGAUGUUGGAUCAGGGUAUCCCAGUGGUGCAGCAGCUACUAAAGGUUCGUUUGUUCAACGAUUAAAACCCUA